Molecule: long non-coding RNA, 674 nt
Organism: Neofelis nebulosa (Clouded leopard)
Lineage: Eukaryota; Metazoa; Chordata; Mammalia; Carnivora; Felidae
Exons: 4
Source: RefSeq, a predicted model, not a curated record
AGGAAUGUAAGCCAUCACAGGAAUCCCAACCCAAUACUCUUACCCAUAGAUUGAGAGCCUCAGAGGAAGUGAAGUGCCUUUUAAAAAAUGACUUCUAACUGGAUGAAUCCCUCUGUCCAAGCCAUCAGUAAGCGUCUCCCAGAUAGCACUCUUACGUCAGUGGAACAGUACCCAGGACAGCAAGAGGAUUGCAAUCCGAGGAGACAAGUCACAGAAUGAAACUGAUAGCAGGAGUUCAAAGGAAAACAACUCAAGUGCAUUAUCAAAAGAAUUCAGAGGAGGAAGCCAUGGCUUUUGGCUGGUACCAAAAAGAGGAAAAAAAGAAAAGAAAAAAAGGAUGCAGGAACAAAACAUUUAAGGUUCCCAAGAUUUUCUGAGGAUAUAAAAGUACGGAGUGAACAUCCCAUCAUACAGGAGGUAUUCCCCAGAAACAUGUGGCAUGCCCAUGUCUCAGGCCUCUUUAAUCCUGCAUUUCACACUCUGACCUAUGAUUCAGUGUUGAAGCAUCAACUUAGCAGGUAAAAGGUUGCUUUUAUCUCAAGCAGACUAAAAUAACCUUUGGAAUUGCCCAAUGAGGGAAAGAAACUGUAUUUUUAAACAACCCACAGAACUACCUCCUUGUUUAGCAAUUCAAUGACUUACCCCUUUAUCACACACUGAUUGAUUGAUUGAUU